This 483-nucleotide ribosomal RNA is filed under the name uncultured bacterium. RNAcentral describes it as "bacterial SSU rRNA". It matches the Rfam family "Bacterial small subunit ribosomal RNA", at positions 12 to 507 of the family's 1533-position model. The record is from RNAcentral.
UUUGAUCCUGGCUCAGGACGAACGCUGGCGGCGUGCUUAAUACAUGCAAGUCAUAGGGGCUAAUUUCCUUCGGGAGAUUGGUCACUGGCGCACGGGUGCGUAACACGUAAGUUAUCUGCCCUUGGGUCUGGCAUAACGUCGGGAAACCGGCGCUAAUUCCAGAUGAUAUCGUAAGAUCAAAGCCUUCGGGCGCCCAAGGAUGAGCUUGCGUCUGAUUAGCUUGUUGGCGGGGUAAUGGCCCACCAAGGCAACGAUCAGUAGCCGGUCUGAGAGGAUGAUCGGCCACAUUGGGACUGAGACACGGCCCAGACUCCUACGGGAGGCAGCAGUAAGGAAUAUUGCGCAAUGGACGAAAGUCUGACGCAGCAACGCCGCGUGCAGGAUGAAGGCCCUUUGGGUUGUAAACUGCUGUAGAAAGGGAAUAAUAGUUUGCCACGGGUGAACUUGAAGGUACCUUUAAAGUAAGCGCCGGCUAACUACGUG